RNAcentral lists this ribosomal RNA (1245 nucleotides) under Triticum aestivum (bread wheat). RNAcentral describes it as "partial small subunit ribosomal RNA". The record is from RNAcentral. Lineage: Eukaryota; Viridiplantae; Streptophyta; Magnoliopsida; Poales; Poaceae.
AUGCAGCGCCGGCUCCCGGCACUCCUCCGCCGCGCGGCGGGCGCGGGGCCCGCGCGCCGGUGGCUCUCCGCCGCCUCCUCCCUCCUCUUCGACGACACCCAGGAGCAGUUCAAGGAGAGCGUGCACCGGUUCGCGCAGGAGCACAUCGCGCCGCACGCCGCCGCCAUCGACGCCUCCAACUACUUCCCCAAGGAGGUGAAUCUGUGGAAGCUCAUGGGGGACUUCAACCUGCACGGCCUCACCUCGCCAGAGGAGUACGGAGGGCUCGGGCUCGGUUACAUGUACCACUGCAUCGCCAUGGAGGAGAUCAGCAGGGCGUCCGGGUCAGUCGGCCUUUCCUACGGUGCACACUCAAAUCUGUGCAUCAACCAGCUGGUCCGUCACGGCAGCCCCGCCCAAAAGGAAAAGUAUUUGCCGAAGCUAAUCAGCGGGGAGCAUAUUGGGGCAUUGGCAAUGAGUGAACCAAACUCUGGCUCUGAUGUUGUCAGUAUGAAGUGCAAAGCUGAGAAAGUAGAUGGCGGCUAUGUCAUUAAUGGGAAUAAGAUGUGGUGCACAAAUGGUCCGUCAGCUCAAACACUGGUUGUUUACGCGAAAACAGAUAUAACUGCUGGAUCGAAAGGAAUAACUGCAUUCAUAAUUGAGAAGGGGAUGCCAGGUAUUUCUUACCAUUACAGGUUCAGUACUGCCCAGAAGUUAGACAAACUUGGCAUGCGAGGAAGUGACACAUGUGAGCUUGUCUUUGAGAACUGCUUUGUGCCUCAAGAGAAUGUUCUUGGUGAAGAAGGGAAAGGUGUUUAUGUCAUGAUGUCUGGUCUUGAUCUGGAAAGACUUGUAUUAGCUGGGGGUCCUAUUGGGCUCAUGCAGGCAUGCCUUGAUGUUGUUCUUCCUUAUGUUCGACAGAGGGAGCAAUUCGGCCGUCCGAUUGGUGAAUUUCAGUUCUUACAGGGGAAAAUGGCAGACAUGUACACCUCCUUGCAAUCAUCAAGAUCAUUUGUAUACUCAGUUGCUAGGGACUGUGAUAAUGGCAAAGUUGACCGCAAGGAUUGUGCAGGAGUGAUCCUCUUUGCUGCUGAAAGGGCAACACAAGUUGCACUUGAGGCAAUCCAGUGUCUUGGAGGCAAUGGAUACAUAAAUGAGUACCCAACUGGCCGUCUCCUGAGAGAUGCAAAACUGUUUGAGAUUGGAGCUGGUACUAGUGAGAUCAGAAGAAUGAUAAUUGGUCGUGAGCUGUUCAAAGAGGACUGA